GAAAGAGAGCGAGGAAAAAUGGGAGGGGCGAGAAAGCUAUUUCUUUCUUGCCCCUUCCAUUUUUCCUCGCUCUCUUUCUCUCC
Molecule: microRNA precursor, 83 nt
Filed under: Paramuricea clavata
Lineage: Eukaryota; Metazoa; Cnidaria; Anthozoa; Malacalcyonacea; Plexauridae
Source: RNAcentral